CCUACGGGAGGCAGCAGUCGAGAAUUUUUCUCAAUGGGGGAAACCCUGAAGGAGCGACGCCGCGUGGAGGAUGAAGGUCUUCGGAUUGUAAACUCCUGUCAUUUGGGAACUAGUACCAGAAGAGGAAGAGACGGCUAACUCUGUGCCAGCAGCCGCGGUAAUACAGAGGUCUCAAGCGUUGUUCGGAUUCAUUGGGCGUAAAGGGUGCGUAGGCGGCGGGGUAAGUCGGAUGUGAAAUCCCGGGGCUCAACCCCGGAACUGCAUUCGAUACUGCCUUGCUCGAGUACUGGAGAGGAGACUGGAAUUUACGGUGUAGCAGUGAAAUGCGUAGAUAUCGUAAGGAAGACCAGUGGCGAAGGCGAGUCUCUGGACAGUACUGACGCUGAGGCACGAAGGCCAGGGGAGCAAACGGGAUUAGAUACCCUUGUAGUC
This 432-nucleotide ribosomal RNA is filed under the name uncultured bacterium. RNAcentral describes it as "partial 16S ribosomal RNA". It matches the Rfam family "Bacterial small subunit ribosomal RNA", at positions 338 to 795 of the family's 1533-position model. The record is from RNAcentral.